Molecule: long non-coding RNA, 14676 nt
Filed under: Mytilus galloprovincialis (Mediterranean mussel)
Lineage: Eukaryota; Metazoa; Mollusca; Bivalvia; Mytilida; Mytilidae
Source: RNAcentral
GUUCCUAGUUGAAAGCCAACAGGACCGUAUGUACUAAGGUAAAAAAAACGUAUUUUUUAAAUGUUUAUAAGAGUAAUUAUGAAAACGAAAUCAAGUUAGACAUUCUGAAUGAUUUAUUUGUAAAUAUUGACCGGCCAAUAUGUAUACGUAUUUACUAUUAAAAAAAUCAGCUUUCGUUUUUGUUAUGUCAGCUAGGUGGUCUAUUGUUAUUGUAUGUAUUUGUGAUAUAAUUGAUAAAAUACAUACUGCAUUCCACAUUUGUGUUUUUACAUUUGGUUAUGUGGGGUGUUUUAUAGCUUAUUUUAUGCUAUGGAUAUUUAAUUGACCAUUUUUGAUGGUGGAUGGUCAGUGUCAAAUAAAAAUUUAUGUUUGUGUUUUUAUUUUAAAUUUAUAAUGUCCUUGUUUUGAUCAGUGUUUAUUCAUCGACUUAAGCCGUGUUCACAUCGACCUGUUGUCUUCGUAUUAUUCACAUGUAAACUAAACACAAUUUCGUUCCCAUUGAUAAAACUCAAUGUUCAUAUCAAAUUUAAAUAAAUUGUUGUCAACAUUCAGUCGAUGGAUAUUGUAGGCCUUGUGUGGUCUACGUGUACACAAAACUGGCUAUAUAGAACAUGAAUUUACCGUGUCUAUUUAAAGAAGAAACGAUUUUUUAAUUUAUUUGAUAUUUAUCGCUUCUGUGUGUGUUGAAUUGUUUUUUUUUUUGUUGUUGUUGCACUUUAGUGUUUCUUUGUUUUCCUUUUCUAUUUUAUGUAUUUCCCGAAAUGUUAGUUUAUGACCCGGAGUUGGUUUCUCUCAAUCGGUUUGUGACUUUCGAAACACCGGUUUACUACUGUUGCCUUUAUUGAAUUGAAUUAUUUACAGUAUAAUUUGUCUUAACUUGAUAUUUUGCUUUUAUUAGAAAAUAAAACCAAAGAUAGCUAGCCUUAUUAACCCGUUAUCAAGACCCAAAGCAUAAUUGUUGCCAAACAUAAUUCAUUUGAAAAGGUCUUCCCUUAUAGACGUCAUUUAAAUGUUUGCCACUGAUCUUUACACAAUAAUUGAUUUACUUAUAUAUUUGUAAAUGCAUUAAUUAAAAGAGUGUGCGGUAAAUUGUUUUGUUUGGCUAGUAUCUCAUAUCCGGUAAAAUGUACUUAGAAUAAAAAAAGCAUUUAUUUGCAAUGUACGAACUAUUAUUUUAAAGCCAAAGUCGUAGUAUGUAUUUUUUUUCUGAAUCAAUUUUUUUUUCGCGCGAACCAUUUAUUCAGUGAAACACAACACUGAAUUACACGUUUGCGGACAAAAAGUUUCGUCUCUAUCAAUCAUUUUUUUUCAGUAUUUGGCAUCUUUAAGGUAUAGGGAAAAUCUAGAUCCUGGAUUUUUUUUCGAAUUGGAGAUCAGAAUAUUUUUUUCAGGCGAAGGAGUUGAAUGGUGGUUUCAUUAAUUCUAGAAAAAUUGUCCAGAAAUUUGCGUUCGACUUUAUGUACUGAUAUUUAAAUGACGUAUAGUUUACAAGUGUAAGCAAAUCUAACGUACAGGUAAUCAACACAGCUGUAUAGAUGUGAACAAGUUUAAUGUGAAACCAGUGUACAUUACAUUCAUUACAUUUAUCCAAUUGUAAAAAAGAAGAUGUUGUAUGAUUGCCAAUGAGACAACUAUCCACAAAAGACCAAAAUGACACAGACAUUAACAACUAUAGGUCACCGUACGGCAUUCCACAAUUAGCAAAGCCCAUACAGCAUAGUCAGCUAUAAAAGGCCCCGAUAAGACAAUGUAAAACAAUUCAAACGACAAAACUAACGGCCUUAUUUAUGUAAAAAAAUGAAAAACAAAUAUGUAACACAUAAACAAAAGACAACCACUGAAUUACAGGCUCCUGACUUGGGACAGGCACAUACAUAAAUAAUGUUGCGGGGUUAAACGUGUUAGUGGGAUCCCAACCCUCCCCUAACCUCGGACAGUGGUAUAACUGUUAACAUGUUUACUGUACAUGGCGUUCGGUGUGAACACGGCCUUAUUCGGGUCACAGUAUUUGUGAUUAAAACUAAAAUAAAAUUAUAAUCAGAAACAAAUAAUUACUGACGGAUCAACGUAGGAACGUAGAGUGCGUAAUAGAAUAAUUUUUUAUGACAUUUUCGUCACCACUACAAACAAUUAUGGCCCGGUCCCCCAUUUUUCUCAAGCCUUUAUCUUCCACCGACAGUGUAUAACAAUGCAUGUUUAUUAACAAUAACAUACAUAUACAAUAUAUGUAUGUUGUCGGAAAAUAUAUAAUUUAUUUGUAUGAGCUUUAGAAAAAGGACGAAAAGCGAGGCUCUGCCGAGCUUUUGUCCUGAAUCGUAGCGAGUACAAAUGUAUUUUAUAUUUGCCGGCAAUGUACAUAUAUUAUUUUAACCUUAAAUUACUCCCAACACUUGAAUCUGUAGUUAUUAAAAUCAAAAUCAUUGUCUUUAAUGUUUCGAAGAAAUCGACAUCGUUGAAACGCUGAUCGCGAAGAGAACCCCAAAAUGAACUGGUUUGAAAACAGAAAUGUUCAUAUUGCCACUUGCUCAGCAUGUAAUUGGGGUCACAUGAGACUUUAUUUGUACAAUUACUAAUAAAGCAAACAUUUAUUUGUAUACCUGUUAUUGUACAAUAGAUGGCUAAUUGCAGGAAAAACAGCGGUAGUGUUGCCAAGGAGAAAACUAUUUGUAAAGGUGUACGGCUCAAAUAUAUUCAUUGAGGACAUAUGAGUUGAGAAGUUAUUUUUGUUUUCCGCAAAUUUUGGAAACCUUUUCAGAACAGUUAUAUGAAACACGUUUUACGCAGACUAAAAUCAUUUGCUAUCGAUCCUGGCCGCUCGAAAUAUUAUUUAAAGAAUUAAUUUAUCAAAAGCCGAACUCCCUGUCGAAUUAAACUCAGAAUCUUGAAUAGCAAACAUGUUUUAAAGGGGAAAUAAGAUACCACUAAAUUGUAAACGCCUUUGAUGUUAACAAUUCUCUUCUUGACUCUAGAGCUUGGCCCGAGUAAAAGUUCACCAGGACUAAUCCAUCUUAAACCUUAGAUCGAAAAUAGGGAGAAAAAUGUUGAGGACAUCAAACAACAAUUCUUUUAUGUCUUGAUGGGGAAAGAUGGACCCACUUUAAAGAGAAAUAAUUAUUAUCGAAGGUUCCACGAAAAUGUUUAGUGGUAAAAAGUGGUAUAAAUCGUAUGAUCCUAAACCUUUGAACUCAUUGACGUGUAGCUUGAUAAGGAUCGAGAUUACUAUUACUAUAAACUUGUUUUGAGAUGAACUUGAAUAUUGAUAUAGCUAUUUUGAGUAUUUUAACAAAUAAGUCUAAAACAAAAACGUUUAAAGCCUGAUAACAAUGCAAAUAGGUCAGACAGAAUACAAAACUAUCAUUACUAAUUAGUAUCAGCAUAAUGUCUAACGAACAACUGAUGCAUGUUAUUUAGUACAUGUAGAUUUUAAUUACUUCUUUAUUUUCGAAUUCAAGGGCACAAAAUGUAACCGUCUCCUUCAUCUACAUAUUGACAAAUAUUUUCAACAAAACAGAGUAAUUAUGGAACUUCUAAAACUUUAAACAAGUUAUUUUGUAGACCGGGAAAGGCGUUCUAAUCAAUUAAUAGCUAUAUUUGCAUAAAUAUUAUUUUGCAGUUUUGUGAUAUGGCCUCAUAUUCCCAAAGUUGUGGUGUGUGUGACCUCCGACACAUCAACAAACCAUGAUCAAUAAUCUGGUGUACGGAAUGUGAUGAAGGGCUUUGUCAAGAUUGUCAGGAACACCAUAGUUUAUCCAAGGGAACCAGAAACCAUAACACCAUAACAAUAAAGGAAUAUAAAACAUUACCAAGUGAAGUACUUAAAAUCACUCAUUACUGUAGCACACACAAUGACAAAUUUAUAAUGUAUUGCAGGACACACGAACGUCCCUGCUGCAGAAAAUGUAUAGUUGAAACUCAUAAAGAAUGCCUGGAUAUCGAUAAUUUAGAAGACGUCAUUCAAAAUGUAAAAACCUCAAAUGCCUUCCACGAUAUUGAAGAAACAUUGGUUGAAGUAGCAGAAAAUUUAAAGAAAAUCAGUCAACAUCAGCAGAAGAAUCUGUUGAAUUUGAAAGAAAAAAGAAAACAAAUUGAAAAAGAAAUUCAAAAGACCCGUAAAACAAUCAACAACCAUCUGGACAAAUUACAAGGAGAUUUGAUAAAACAACUUAAUUCUAUUGAAGAAACCCAGAACUCGAAAAUUUGUCAGUUGUUGUCAUCACUUGAACAGAGAGAAAAAGAAAUAACCAAAUACCAGCAAAACCUUGCAAGCAUUAAACAACACGCCUCAGACCUUCAGAUUUUUCUUUCACUUAAGCAAAUCGAACAAGACAUUAAUAUAAAUGAUAAAUUCCUACAAUCCGUAGUGGAAGGUGAGGAAUUGAAGCAAUGUCAUCUAGAAUAUAGAACCAACAUUGCUAUUCAAGAUAUCAUGUCCAAUAUCAAAAGUUUUGGAGAAGUACAGAUUGAAACUAAACCAUGUGACAUCGUUCUUAGCAGGAAGAAGACUAAACAAGCACAGAUAAUGGUACCAAACGUUCAAACAAGAUCCAUUGAGAAUAUAAAGCUGGAGAUGCACAAAACAGCAGUAGCAACUGAAGGAAGAUACGUCUACGGGUGUUGCCUGAUACCAGAUGGUAGAAUGGCUUUUACUUACUACUAUGAUUGUGCGUGUUAGAGUUUUCAGUGAUAAAGGAUCAAAAGACUUUGAGGUGAAGAUGCCGUGUAAGUAUACGAUAUACUGUAUAUUAGUAAGGACGAUACAUUAGCCGUAACAUCUGGUGGUUCAAGUCAGCAUUGUAUUUUUAUUAUAAACGUGGAAAGAAAACAAAUCACGAGAACAAUUUCACUAGAUUCGGAAAUUUAUGGCAAAGCACUUAGAGAAAAUAUUUUAAUAUAUUCCGGUUAUAACAAAGGAAUCCGAAUGAUCAAUCUUGACGACGAGUCAAUUACUUAAAUAGUUCAAGAUAAAAUGCCAAGAUGCUGUUACAAUGCAAGAUUUCGGAACCAAAUCUAUCACACAAACUCAUACACACAAGCCGUUACUUGUUACGACCAACAAGGUAAACCACAAUGGACAUUCAAAAAUAUAAGCCUUCUGAAGUAUCCUCGUAUUGAUGUAGAUAUUGAUGGUAAUGUGUAUGUGGUAGGGAUGGAUUCGAACAAUGUUGUAGUUAUCUCCCCUGACGGACAACGCCAUAGACAAGUAUGAGCAGCAAGUGAUGGUCUUGAUUCUCCUUAUUCAGUUUGUUUUGACAAUUCAAACAAGCAGUUGCUAGUGACUAACUAUGAAAAUGAGGCACACUUAUAUGCAUUCAUUUGAAAAGAUUUUGGAUAAGCUAUUGUUUAUCAAUUUUGUAUCACAGCUAAACAUUUUCCGAUGAAAUGAUUUGUUUCAUAGACAUUAAUAAUGUUAUGGAAUAUUUUGAUUUUUUAAAUAUGUUUUUGUGAGAUUUUUUAUAAACAAAAUACAUCAAAUAGAACGAUUUUACACGAUCCAUUUUUUGAAAAAGUGUUUAUUUAUAAUUGACAAAGUUGCAAAAUAUUCAGGAUUCGGAAUUUUGUUAAAGAUCUUUUAAAUUUUUAACCUUAUUUGGGCAAGAGAUAUGUUUCCAUAAUGAAAAAUAUCAAUAUUAGCUUAUUAAUGUGUUAAAACUAUAUUUGGAGAUUAAACUUGCAUAUCUUACAUCAGUGUUAUAAUUUACAUUAUGUUAACGAAUUUUUUGUGUUGACAUAUGCACUGUAUGUUCUGAUCAGAAAGUGCAAAAAGAAUUUUGCCCUUUUCCAUUGAUUAUUGUAAAAAAAAUAUCUGAAAAUUUCAACGUCGAAGAAAGGUAUCUGAUUCAUCAAUUUUCAUUCUACAAUCAUUGCAAAAAGUAUGAUACAUAGCAAUCUAUUUAACCUUCUUAUUUAAAGUACCACAGGAAAUGGUUCGUUGGUUAGGUAAAGAGAAGUUUUACAUUCAUAAUCAAUAUUGUGCGCUUGAUUUAUAUAAACCACGUUCAGCUUACUAUACGGUGAAUGUUGUACUCAUAUCUGAAAACCACAGGUUUCCACGUACCUGUUAAUAUAACUGUUUCUUUUGUCUCUGAUAGAAUGCAGUGUCAUUGGCUACUACUUACCCAUUAAUUUCACAUUCAUAACGUUUAAAUAUAAUCAUAAACAUAAUGAAAUGAAAUAUGAUAACCAAUGAAAUAAUUAUUCCCCAGACACCAAAUAACAUGGAUGUUAGAAACUAUACUAAUCACCCUGCUCAUUUAAACAGUGAACACACCGUAUAGUCAGCUAUGAAGGCAGGGAAAUGACAUAAUGUUAACCAAGAAAACCAAUAGUCCGGCCGAUUGGUGCAGAUAGAUAGCAGAAUUGCUCACUUGAUGAGGAAAGCAUGAAACUUUGCAUAGUAGUUUUUGGUUAUGUACCAUUUGAUUUUAGCUAUGGACCCACUCUGAAAAAUCCAAUAUGGCUGCCAUUUUCAAGAUUGCGGAAAAACGGUAUAAAUAUCAAGAUUGUCCUAAAGGUAUUCUAUAUAAUUUUGGAAAUUAAAGUAAUGAUUCUUUAAAAAUGGACUUCAUAUUUUUGAAUUUGUUAUCAAUUAAUUUUAAAAUAUAAAAACAAAAUAAUAAGGUUAUUUCUAUAACACAUACAUUUGCAAAUAUGGCUGCAUAUACUAAAACAAAUAGUGAAAUUCAAAAUGUUAAUCAAUAUUUUACAGGUUAUUGUAAUUGUUCUUUAAACGCUUUCAGUUUUAAUGGUUGGAAUGAAAUAGGUUGAAACUAGUCGAUUGAACGUAAAUAUAGGUCGGUUAAAUGUGGUUGAAUAGUAGGUAACUCAUCUGAAUUUUUAGGUAGUGCCGAGGGCACCUGAAUCGUGUCUCUUCAAUGCCACGUCUUACGUCUCUUAUCGCGUUUUCAUCUACAUCGUAAAACUAUUCUAUGUAAUCAAUAGGUGUACCUUUCUUCAGGCGGAUUAGACGAUUGCCACCAUUUAAAAUGGUUAAGGGGCAACCAUUUCCUUUCCAACUACGUGCGAAACAAAUUUGCAAUUAUUCAGCGAUCAUGGUCCUACAUUGCACUCCUGGUCAGCGCUUUUAUUAGUUUUAAUGGUAACAGUUAUUUUUGAGAUUAGCGGAACUGUGAUGGUUCGUUUUAUGCAAACUUGCUGAGUUGAAAUCUCGUUUCUACUGUUAACAAAUGCCGCAUUUAUCACUUUAGUGUUGAUGGUAAUUGUGGGAGUACUCAGGUUUAUCACUGCAUUCAGUGUGUCCAGAAUAUCUAGCCUAAGUAUAACAUCGUCUGUUAAUGGCUCUUUGCACACAUCCCAUUGUAUGUUUACUCUAUUAAUUCCCAAUAACAAGCUGUUAACCCAAACCACGUAGCGUUACUUUGUCCAAAUCUCCAUUUUCUGCAAGUAUUAAUUUCUCAUUUACUAAUGUUAUCAUUGCAGCACUGUCCACAAUCAUGCUCACAUUCUUGUCAUGUAUAGUACCUCGUACUGCUAAGCUCAUUCAAAUGGUUUGUCUGAUGACAAUAUCGGACGAGGCCGUGGGCCUCUGUUCGAUUUUGUAAUGAGGUGAUGUUUUAUGGCCAAUAGACUUUAGAAUCGUGCGUUGGCCUACUGGCCCGAUCCUUCGCUGUUUAAAGACUCCAUUGUUGGGGUUGCGCUUUGAUAUGGUCCGUAUCCUGGUGAAGGUGACCGUUGUCUGAAAUAACCGGGAUUUCUGCAGUUUGUCCGUGAAGAUGAUAACCGUUGUCUUUAUAGACUAUAUGAUAUCUAGCUUAGUGGGAAGGGGGUGCGAUCGAUGGAUAUUAAGCUAGGAUGUAUUUCUAUCUGGCGAUCUACCGCGAUUGUAUUGCUCAGAAGAUCUUUCACGUGUUUAUUGAUCAGGUGAUCUUCCAUUGAACUGGUGAUCUUCCAUGAUUAUUUGAUAAGAAGAACCGAGGUUAUAUAUUAAUCGGCCAAUCCACGGUUAUGCUGAUUAGUUGAAAGCAUAAUAUCAGCUAGUUUUGUGACAAUUUAUGUCAGGCUAUGCACCUCAUUAUCCAAAUGACUGCUUAUAUUUCCUUUAUCGGUCGGUGAUACUGCGUCAUCAGCAAAGUAGACUUGUCGAUGGUCAUAAUUGGAACUUUUUGAUCCAUAUAUCGCCAUAUGGUUUGCUAUUGAGGUUUUCAAUUGUUUGGACGCCUUGUUUAAUGUUCCUGGGUUCCUGUCUAUUACAUGCCUUGCAGAAUCUUUGUCUUUACAUCCUCGACGGAAUGCUUCAGUUCCAAUCUGGUUUGAUCGUCUUUCUUGUCGAAGCGCUGCUACACAUAUUUUUUCUGUUUUCCCAUUUUCAUUUACCGGCAGUUCGUUCAAAUUGGUAAAUAAACGACUCCCAAGUCAUGGAUCCUCUUCAAUUAUGUUUUUGCAUUUUUGGAAGCUGUAGGCUUCGGCUUCGGUCCCAUGCACCAAUAUUUUCUUGCCAUCGGGUAUAUUCUCUCUCCAAUGAGGAGUCGGAAGAAGAGGUGUUUUCACACUCUUUUAGUUUCCUCUGCCCAUUCCUGGAUCGGUCAGUGGAGUCAGCUUGCUGUUAUGUGAAGCCUGUUAGAGCUCCAGGACCUGACGAGGUUGUCAUAAUUGGAGUGUUAAAUGUGGGAUUUACCAUUGACUCGACGGGGAUGAUACCGUAAGUAGGCACUGCAUUCAGCAUUGGAGAAACUUGAUAGAAUCAACUUGAAGCCAAUUGUUUCUGUAAUGGUGUGCGUAAGAAGACACAAGCCUUUUUCUAGUAUCCUUGAUAAGUAAUAGAGGUUUAUAGUAUGUUCUUAAAUGGAGAUUUUUGUUGAAUAAUUUGAACUGUCUCAUGCAGGGCCAAGGACCUUGACAUAGGACUUUUGACUUAAGGUGAAGAAACCUUCAAUCCACUAGCCCAGUAGUCAGCACUUCGGUGUUGACAUGAAUAUCAAUUAUGUGGUUAUUUUUAUAAAUUUUCCGUUUACAAAACUUUGAUUUUAUCGAAAAACUAAGGAUUUUCUUAUCCAAGGAAUAGAUUACUUUAGCCGUAUUUGAUACAACUUUUUGGAAUUUUGGAUUCUCAUGGCUCUUCAACUUCGUACGUGUUUGGCUUGAUACAUAUUUUGAUAUGACCGUCACUGAUGAAUCUUAUGUAGACGAAACGCGCGUCUGGCGUACAAAAUUAUAAUCCUGGUACCUUUGAUAACUACUAACAACUUCAACAGAGUUGGUGCGGUUGAUGGUUCAUGUGAACUACAAUAAGGGAAAAACCAAACGCAUGGAUUUUGUUGUGUAUUUUUGGUAAACUUGCGUUGUACUGGCUAAGGUCAAAUUUUGGCUUAGAUGAUGUGUCCAUUGCAGGAAGUUUAACUUCUUUAUUUCGAUUGUCCACUUAUUCAUUUACAACCGAUGCCAGUUGUUGGAAAGUAUCCUGUUGUUCAAAUGCACUUUUAAAUUGAACUGUGUCUCUUUCUUCAGUUGUUGUCCAUUCGUCUCACCGCAACAUUGAAUAUCUUAUUGGUAUGGCCAUCAAUUCCGCCAGGCAAUUAUUACUAGCCUUGUGGUCUAACCUGUCUUAAGACUGCUGAAUUUGCUGAGAUAUUGCUCUCAUCUGUUCGUAAUUAAUAUUUAUUGCUUCUUUCUGUUCAGCUUGAAACGUAAUGAGACCAACACAUAUUUUAUCAAUUCGCACUUCGCUCUGUUUUAUAUUGCAGUAAAUCUCAGCUGUUCUUUGAGCAUUAGAUUUACUAUCUGCUAGAAAUUCUUAGUAUAAUUGUUUAAUAGUCAUUUCUGAGCUGUCUUCUGUUAAAGCGUCUUCAGCUGUGGGUUUCGCCAUAUCCCAAAGUGAUUCAGUUUCUGCCAUUUCAAUGUUCUUGUCCUUGUUGUCGUCAAUUCCUGCCAUUUCACUGAUAUGUGUUUAAAUGAUUCUCAAUUCAGUUUAAUAUCUCAAAUUGCAAAAUAUUGCGACCCAGAAAUACGAUAGGCACUGCAUAAUAUCUUAACGCAAAUAAAUCCCAAAUCACAGCUUUUAUGUGUGACCCAAGAUAACAAAUAGUGCAACUUUUAAUGAAAGCUACUACUGCAGCCUUUUAUGAAAGCUACUACUGCAGCUUUUUAUGAAAGCUACUACUUUGUGUAUGAAAUGAAAAGCAAGGCAAAAUCAAAAAGGACAGAACUGGGACAUAUACUAAAUGACACUAUACGUCAAUAAAAUGCUUAUAUUCAGGUCAAUUCUCAAUAAUGAAUAUUUGCUUAUUUUUCAAGGCGGCUAUUUUGAAAAUAGCCGCCAUUUUGUAUUUCAAAGAUAGAUCAAAACAAAAUCUUUCUAAGAAUACCAAGUCAUUCAAAUAUGUUGAUUUUAGUGCGUUCAGCAUCAAAUCCACUGUGGUUUGUGCAAUACUAUAAAAUAUUUUAGAACGUACGGCAGCCAUCUUGAAAUAAGCCGCCAUAUUGAAUUUUGAGGGUGGGUCCAUAGCUUAUACUGCUCAGUCCAAAAAAAUGUGCCAUCAUGCAAAAAUUGGUGCUUUCCUCAUUAUUUGAGCAAUUUUUUCACCGAUCAGCCGGACUACAACGGUCUUCUGAAAGGUAAAAUAAUAAACGAAAAACAAAUAUGUUACACCAACCAACGACAACCACAAAUAAAUAGAGGCUACUGAUUAUUGACAGGUACAUAAAAAAAAUGUGACAGGAAUACUUUGUUAGCGUUCAAUUGUUCCCUAUCAGCGGUGGAACAGCACGUGUGACUCAACUUUAAAGAUGAUAGACUCUUUAAGAAAACAAUGACAAUAAAACAAGAAAACACAAACUUUAAAAUACAUUUUAUAUAUUUUAUCACCAUACUGAAUAUUAUUUGCUGUUGGGUCAAAAAAUAAAUCCAAAGAACGAUGCCUGUGAUUCCAGCUCAUAAGGAACAUACUUCAAUAGUUUUAUCUUUCAUAACAUGCCAUAUGCCAUAAUUAGCAUGAGAUAAACACAAUGAAGUCCAAAAAAUGUCUAUCCAGACUGAGAUUUGUCCAUACUUGUUUUGGAAUAAAACAUAUUACAAGUAUUAGAUUAUUAAACCAUUACAAAACACAGUGUUUUUUCCCAAGUCAACAUAUUUAAAACAGCUUAGAUUAACGAAUUUUGUAAAGAGUUUUCCCUUCAGUGAAGACAUUCAAUAUAUCAGUAUCUGUAUUUAACUAAAUUUAACUAGUAAAACAAAUAUGAGACUUUCUUGAUUUUCAAUGCUGACAAAACAUUAUACAGCGCACAUAAACGAAAAACAAGGGCUCUCAAAAAUAGAAUAAAAUAACUUUUUCAACACAUUUAUUUAAAACUCUAAAGUAUUAGAUCACUUACACAAUUCGUUUGUAAAAUAUAAAUGCUAUAUGUGCUCUUAUAUCAUAAAGUUUGGUUUGUAUAAUAAGACAAAAAGAGAUGAUAUUGUAAUUGAUUAUAUUUAUAAUUAAAUGCAAAUUUAAAUAUUCCCGCCAGAUAAAAGUUUUUAUAACGAUCACGUGACCAAUUACCAUCCUAGUUGAAAUACCAUCCGGUGCGUAUUUACUAAGGUAACAAACAUAUUUUCUUAAUGUGUAUAUGAAUAAUUAUGCAAGCAAAUGCAAGUAGACAUUUAAAAUGAUUUAUUUGUAAAUAUUGACAGGCCUACAUGUACGUAUUUACCUUUGAAAAUAUCUACUUUCGUUUAAUGUCAGCUAGCUGUGUUGUUAUGUAUUUAUUUUGUUUUUCUGUCGUAUUUGGGAUACAAUUGAAAAAAUGACAUACUUUUGUGUCGUUUUACAUUUGGUCAUGUUGGUUCUAUUGUAGAUUACUUCAUGAUAUGGAUUUUUACAUUGUUGCAUACAAUACGAUGACGCGUAUGUCAUGUGAUAUCUUGUGGAUCAAUAAUAACUUCAUAUUUUUGUUUUUAUUUUUACAUUGAUAGUUUCUUUGUUUAUGUCUUAUUCAAGUGACAAUUUUUAUUUUUGUUUGUCGUUAAAAAGAUAUCUUCACCAGGAACACUGGAAGCUAGUAAGUGUAAAUGUACAUAAACAAGUACGAGAAAUAUGGUUCAAAGGGACAUAAUUAAGCCAAAUCCAUCAAAUAUAUUAUGGGCCAUAUAAUAUUCGAGUUUGGCAUCUUAUAGUCAUUAUGAUUUAGAAAGAAGGUAUGAACGAAGUUGACAUUGCAACAAUUAUUAUAAUUAUUCCAGACUAUGAAAACAAUGUUGAUUAAAUAAAUAAAUGAACAGGUUAAUAUAAGCUGGACACUUAAGUGCAGAAAGGAUCCUCUGGUUUUAUAAAUACUUCAACUUAUUAAACAAAUGCACUUUACAUAUUUAUGAUAUAGUUCUUGAAAAACAUAUGUGAACAAAGGAUUUAUACAAAAAUAUGUUUUACACAAAUUAACAUUUUAUUUAAUACAAUUUGUUACAAAAAUCAUUUUGGUAGAUGUCCCUGUUCCACUCUAAAUACUUUGGAAAAUAUCUCUACAAACUAUAGACUGUUUCAGGAUUUUUAAAGAUUGUUUUUAACAAAGAAGUUUACAACCUGAUAACAAUGCAAAUAGGUCAGACAGAAUACAAAACUAUCAUUACUAAUAAGUAUAAGCCAAAUGUCUAACAAACAAUUGUUGCAUGCUAUUUACUACAUGUAGGUUUUAAUUACUUUUUUAUUUUCAAGUUCAAGUGCACAAAAUGUUACCGCCUCCUUUAUCUACAUAUUGACAAAUAUUUUCAACAAAACAAAAUAAUUUGGGAACUUGUAUAUCUUUAAAAAAAGUUAUAUUGUAGACCGGGGAAGUUCUUCUGAACAAUAGCCUUAAUUAUAUUUGAUUUGAUAUUAUCUUGCAGUUUUGUGAUAUGGCCUCAUCCUCCCAAAGUUGUGGUGUGUGUGACCUCCGACACAAACAACAACCAUCAUAAUCUGGUGUACGGAAUGUGAUGAAGGACUUUGUCAAGAUUGUCAGGAACACCAUAGUUUAUCCAAGGGAACCAGAAACCAUAACACCAUAACAAUAAAGGAAUAUAAAACAUUACCAAGUGAAGUACUUAAAAUCUCUCAAUACUGUAGCACACACAAUGACAAAUUUAUAAUGUAUUGCCGGAAACACGAACGUCCCUGCUGCAGAAACUGUAUAGUGGAAACUCAUAAAGAAUGCCCGGAUAUCGAUAAAUUAGAAGACGUCAUUCAAAAUGUAAAAACCUCAAAUGCCUUCGACGAUAUUGAAGAAACAUUGGUUGAAGUAGCAGAAAAUUUAAAGAAAAUCAGUCAACACCAGCAGAAGAAUCUGUUGAAUUUAAAAGAAAAAAGAAAACAAAUUGAAAAAGAAAUUCAAAAGACCCGUACAACAAUCAACAACCUUCUGGAAAAAUUACAAGGAGAUUUGAUAAAACAACUUUAUUCUAUUGAAGAAACCCAGAACUCGAAAAUGUGUCAGUUGUUGUCAUCACUUGAACAGAGAGAAAAAGAAAUAACCAAAUACCAGCAAAACCUUGCAAGCAUUAAACAACACGCCUCAGACCUUCAGAUUUUUCUUUCACUUAAGCAAAUCGAACAAGACAUUAAUAUAAAUGAUAAAUUCCUACAAUCCGUAGUGGAAGGUGGGCAAAUGAAGCAAUCUCAUCUAGAAUAUAGAGCCAACAUGGCUAUUCAAGACUUCAUGUCAAAUAUCAAAAGUUUUGGAGAAGUACAUAUCGAAAGUAAGCCAUGUGACAUCGUUCUUAGCAGGAAGAAGACCAAACAAGCACAGAUAAUGGUACCAACCGUUCAAACAAGAUUCAUUGAGAACAUAAAACUGAAGAAAAACAAGACAAUAACAACUGAAGGACAAAGCGUCUACGGGUGUUGCAUAAUACCAGAUGGUAGAAUGGCGUUUACUUAUUUCUUUGAUUUGGCAGUUAGAGUAUUCAGUGAUACAGGAACAAAAGACUUUGAGGUGAAGAUGCCGUAUUACGUAUACGAUAUACUGUAUAUUAGUAAGGACAAUACAUUAGCCGUAACAUCUGGUGGUUCAAGUCAGCAUUGUAUUUUUAUUAUAAACGUGGAAAGAAAACAAAUCACGAAAACAAUUACACUCGACUCGUAUAUUUAUGGCAUAGCACUUAGAGAAAAUAAUUUAAUAUAUACUAGGAAAAUAUUUAAUACAUUACGGUUAUAACAAAGGAAUCCGAAUGAUCAAUCUUUCCGAUGAGUCAAUUACUCAAAUAGUCCAAGAUAAAAUGCCAGAUUGUUGUUACAUUGCAACAUUUCGGAACCAAAUAUAUCACACAAACUCGGAAACACAUGCCGUUACUUGUUACGAUCAACAAGGUAAACCACAAUGGACAUUCAAAAAUGGCAGCGUUCUGAAGAAUCCUCGUGGUAUUGAUGUAGAUAUUGAUGGUAAUGUGUACGUGGCGGGGUUCAAGUCGAACAAUGUUGUAGUUAUCUCCUUUGAUGGACAACGCUAUAGAGAAGUGUUAGCAGCAAGUGAUGGGCUUGAUCUUCCUAUUUCACUUUGUUUUAACAAUUCAAAGCAGCAGUUGCUAGUGACUAACUGGAAUAAUGAGGCCCGGCUGUAUGCUUUGAUUUGAAAAGAUUUUUUAAUUAUGUAUUAUCUUUAAUUUUGUAUCGUCACAGCUACACAUUUUUCGAUGAAAUGAUUAGUUUGAGAGUUGACAUAAAUUAUGUUAUGGAAUCAUCUUUAUGUUUUUAAUGUUUUUAUUAGAUUUUU